ACUGUGAAUUUCACUUUAAUUAUUCCAUAAAAAUUUGUAUAAAUUGGAAAAAUAUAUUCUUGAAUUUUGAAUUCGUUGGAGGGGAGAGGAAUUGAGAGAGGAUUAUCCAGGAAAUUUGAGAUGGAAGAAGUAAUUGCAGAGAGGAAAGUUGGGAAAAAAAUAUGUUGAACAUGUCGGAAAGUUUUUCUGUGCGAAUCGUUGCAGUAAAAAACAGGCAAACAUUUCAAAAAAUUUCUAUCCAACUUUUCCAUUGACCUCUUGUAUUCACAAAAAUAUUGCAGACUUCGCAUUGAAAAUUAAAUCAACACAGCCGCUCAAUCAAAAUUUAAUCAACAUUAACGAGAAGUGUUGGAACACUGAUCGAAUCGAUAGCCUCGAAUUGAUGUGGGACACGAGUUCCAUUAUUUGGUUGAGACCGCUGGGAUUGAAUCAGCGGUCGAGUGAUAUGUGUUAUUACCGGUCUAGUUUCAAACAUUUUUUCCCGAGAGAGGGGAGUUUUCGAGGGACGAGAGAGAACAAAACGUUUAUAACCAGCGUAUCCGGCAGUAAUAAACUAUGCACACGAAAUUAAGUUCAUACCUGGUUGUAUAAGAGGUUCGAUUCUGUCGUGGAUGUGUGCAGUGAGUUGUUUGGGUGCCAGAGAGUGGUGACCUCCUCAGAGAUGUCCAAAUUCAUUUCCAACGGUUCACCUUCUGCAGGGACGGAUCAGACGCAUGCAGCGAUGGCGGUCCGGCGGUGAAUGGAUUACUGCUGCACUGCUGGACCGCCAGUCUGGCAGUCAGUCCGCCAGUCCCUGCAGAGGUGAGUUUUCCCCGAAAAAUUACAAUCCUAAAAAUUAAUGCCAUCAAUUAAACCAUUGGCCUCAAGCCGAAUUCCCCUCAUCCAAAUAACCCCGAGUAUGAUCUUCCGCUGGAACUAUACGUACUGACCUCGAGUCUGGUCCGCCUCGACGCGAAUCACCUGCACAGUUUCAUCACUAUAAAAUUAUCGUGAAAUCCGGAUAAUUUGGUGCUGAUGUUCUGCUCGAGAAUUGCGAGCCCGAGUCAUGAAUUUUACUUAACGCAACAAUGCCCGUAAACGUCGACAUUCGAUGGAAUUUAGAUUAAUUCUCCAUGUUUAUGAACAAAUGUAACUAUUAUUUAUUCCGCACAUGAAGCUUUUGAGGCUUUACAAUUCCGUGAAAUUAUAGGACUGCAGAGUUACUGCGACUUGCACUCAGAUAUUCAAAUUGAAGUGAAAAUUUAUGGUAAUGAAGUUGUUGUAUUUGUUUCUAUCUAAAGUUCAUUGCUGUAACAACAGGAAUGAUGGGCGAAUUAUUUGUUCAAGGAAUGCCCCUAGAAAACAGGUUUCUGUUACGAUUGUCCCCGCAUUUUUUCCCCAUUAAUUUUUCAAUAAAAAUCAUUAAGAAAUCAAUAGAAUUUCCGGGUUAAUUCGGAUGGAAUGCAACGAAAUUUCUGUAGAAAAUGAU
Molecule: long non-coding RNA, 1468 nt
Organism: Diachasma alloeum
Lineage: Eukaryota; Metazoa; Arthropoda; Insecta; Hymenoptera; Braconidae
Exons: 3
Source: RefSeq, a predicted model, not a curated record